CCCUUAGAUGUUCUGGGCCGCACGCGUGCUACACUGAGUAAUUCAAUGGGUAAGGGAACGCUAGAGCAUUACCUAAUCUUGAAAUUUGCUCGUGAUGGGGAUCGACGGUUGCAAUUUUCCGUCGUGAACGAGGAAUACCUUGUAGGCGCAUGUCAUCAUCAUGCGCCGAAUACGUCCCUUCCCUUUGUACACACCGCCCGUCGCUCCUACCGAUUGAGUGAUCCGGUGAGGCUCUGGGACCUGGACGGAAAGAGCGUUUCGCUUGUUCUGUUUGGGAAACUUGGUCGAACCUUAUCAUUUAGAGGAAGGAGAAGUCGUAACA
This 322-nucleotide ribosomal RNA is filed under the name uncultured eukaryote. RNAcentral's name for it is "partial 18S ribosomal RNA". It matches the Rfam family "Eukaryotic small subunit ribosomal RNA", at positions 1470 to 1796 of the family's 1831-position model. The record is from RNAcentral.